GGCGUAAGCGCGCGCAGGUGGUUUCUUAAGUCUGAUGUGAAAGCCCACGGCUCAACCGUGGAGGGUCAUUGGAAACUGGGAGACUUGAGUGCACAAGAGGAAAGUGGAAUUCCAUGUGUAGCGGUGAAAUGCGUAGAGAUAUGGAGGAACACCAGUGGCGAAGGCGACUUUCUGGUCUGUAACUGACACUGAGGCGCGAAAGCGUGGGGAGGAAACAGGAUUAAAUACCCUGGUAGUCCACGCCGUAAACGAUGAGUGCUAAGUGUUAGAGGGAUUCCCCC
Molecule: ribosomal RNA, 281 nt
Filed under: Bacillus cereus
Lineage: Bacteria; Bacillati; Bacillota; Bacilli; Caryophanales; Bacillaceae
Description: partial 16S ribosomal RNA
Rfam family: Bacterial small subunit ribosomal RNA
Source: RNAcentral